AUUGAACGCUGGCGGCAGGCCUAACACAUGCAAGUCGAGCGAUCGGCGGACGGGUGAGUACUGUCUGUGAAACUGCCUGAUGGCGGGGGAUAACUACUGGAAACGGUAGCUAAUACCGCAUACCAUCAGAUGUGCCCCGAUGGGAUUAGCUAGUAGGUGGGGUAACGGCUCACCUAGGCGACGAUCCCUAGCUGGUUUGAGAGGAUGACCAGCCACAGUGGAACUGGGACACGACCCAGACUCCUACGGGAGGAAGCAUGGGGGAAUAUUGGACAAUGGGCGCAAGCCUGAUGAAGCCAUGCGGCGUGUGUGAAGAAGGCUUUCGGGUUGUAAAGCACUUUCAGCGGGGAGGCGUUACCCGCAGAAGAAGCACCGGCUAACUCCGUGCCAGCAGCCGCGGUAAUAC
Molecule: ribosomal RNA, 406 nt
Filed under: uncultured bacterium
Lineage: Bacteria
Description: partial 16S ribosomal RNA
Rfam family: Bacterial small subunit ribosomal RNA
Source: RNAcentral